RNAcentral lists this unclassified non-coding RNA (596 nucleotides) under Actinia tenebrosa (Australian red waratah sea anemone). RNAcentral's name for it is "qRFP-like peptide receptor, transcript variant X9". The record is from RNAcentral. Lineage: Eukaryota; Metazoa; Cnidaria; Anthozoa; Actiniaria; Actiniidae.
CUGUGCAAGCGGACCAAGAUAAAGUCUAGGGGCUAAUAGAAUUCAUUUAUAUCAUAAUAAGGACUACACCCUUGUGUCAUCUUUCAUUUCUGAUCACGCUAGCUAUGCAAGCAGACCAAGCUAAAGUCUUGGGGCUGAUAUAAUUUAUUCAUAUCAUAAUAAGGACUACACCCUUGNGUAAUCUUUCAUUCCUGAUCACGCUAGCUAACAAGCGGAAUCAGCUGAAGUCUUGGUGCUAAUGUGGUUUACAACAUAAUAAAGAUUAGUACAGUCGUGUGUCAUCUUUCAUUCCUGACACGCUAGCUAACAAGCGCAACAAGCCGAGAUCAAAAGACUGAUAAACACUAGCGAAAGCAACAUCAUGUUUAAAGAUCAUUAAUCAAAGAUCUACUAACCAAUAUCGGAGGGACGUAAAAGAACCACUGAGGACGAUGACAAGUAAGCUUUAGACGAAGAGACGUUAUUUUGACAGUCUAUGAAGUUGAUGAAAAAAACUGAAGAAAGAGAACAAAGGACUAAGCAAGUUACUUCAACCCCAAGUUUAACAUAAAAUUUGUCAAGCCUGAGUGUAAUGUUGAACACUACGCGACGCGAAU